GUAUGACCACUUCAUAGACUGGUUUCCCUCUAAUCCUCACUUUGCAUUUAUUCUUAGUCCUUUAAGUUCCUACCCCCCCUUUUUAUAAGCCAUGCUUAGGGACCUGGGAGUCUCCUAUAAACUUGGAUGCCCUAGGGCUGGUAAUUCCACACUUGCACUAUUCCUAUUAGAGUCUAAGCAAUGCCUGGAUCCCCUUGAAGACCUUUGGAACUUUGUAGCACUCUAAUAGAGACAAGCCUCGGAUCUUGGGAGCUCCGAUUUGGUAAAAGGCAUAUGUUGGACAUUAAAGUUGCUUCGAGACACCUCGGG
Molecule: long non-coding RNA, 309 nt
Filed under: Nicotiana benthamiana
Lineage: Eukaryota; Viridiplantae; Streptophyta; Magnoliopsida; Solanales; Solanaceae
Description: long non-coding RNA (NBEN_LNC012662)
Source: RNAcentral